GGGACAAGUAAUUAUAUACACAUUAUAUAUCUUAUGUUAUGUUACUUACUAACAUAGAUUUGUCAUAUAUAUACAAGAUGUAUCAUAUUUUAUUUUAUUUUGUAGGCAUUUUCUUCUAUUGGUAGAGCUGCUGUCUAUUCCUCAUACAUCAGAGUCUAGGAGCUACGUGCGACGUGGACAAGAAUUUGUACAUUUCUUUCAAAAUAUUUAGGAUAUAGCAUCAUGUAGGUAUAUUUUUGCAUUAUAUAUUUUGUAGAUUUAUGUUUUCUAUAG
RNAcentral lists this long non-coding RNA (273 nucleotides) under Elaeis guineensis (African oil palm). RNAcentral's name for it is "long non-coding RNA (EGUI_LNC054740)". Lineage: Eukaryota; Viridiplantae; Streptophyta; Magnoliopsida; Arecales; Arecaceae. The record is from RNAcentral.